This 465-nucleotide ribosomal RNA is filed under the name Vreelandella stevensii. Its description in RNAcentral is "partial 16S ribosomal RNA". It matches the Rfam family "Bacterial small subunit ribosomal RNA", at positions 338 to 795 of the family's 1533-position model. The record is from RNAcentral. Lineage: Bacteria; Pseudomonadati; Pseudomonadota; Gammaproteobacteria; Oceanospirillales; Halomonadaceae.
CCUACGGGUGGCAGCAGUGGGGAAUAUUGGACAAUGGGCGAAAGCCUGAUCCAGCCAUGCCGCGUGUGUGAAGAAGGCCUUCGGGUUGUAAAGCACUUUCAGUGGGGAAGAAAGCCUUGGGGCUAAUACCCUCGAGGAAGGACAUCACCCACAGAAGAAGCACCGGCUAACUCCGUGCCAGCAGCCGCGGUAAUACGGAGGGUGCGAGCGUUAAUCGGAAUUACUGGGCGUAAAGCGCGCGUAGGCGGUCUGAUAAGCCGGUUGUGAAAGCCCCGGGCUCAACCUGGGAACGGCAUCCGGAACUGUCAGGCUAGAGUGCAGGAGAGGAAGGUAGAAGUCCCGGUGUAGCGGUGAAAUGCGUAGAGAUCGGGAGGAAUACCAGUGGCGAAGGCGGCCUUCUGGACUGACACUGACGCUGAGGUGCGAAAGCGUGGGUAGCAAACAGGAUUAGAUACCCUGGUAGUC